AAAAAGGAAAAACUAUGCAUUUUGAAUGUUUGGUUUGUUUCUGCUUGCUAGCCCUAGUCAUCAGUUUUUUUGUCAUGCUUCACAUGGAGUUGGUUUUGUGUUAGCUAUGCACUGUUUUUGCUCUUAUUGGAUUGCCUUGGAAUUGCUUCAGUCUAAAUCAAGAGUCUAGAUUCUUUAGUUCUUAUAUGUGGCAAUUUUGUCAAGCAUCACUUAGAGUGAGUUUGUGUUAUCUUUGCAGUGUCCUGUUCGUACUAGGUUGCCUUUAGA
This 267-nucleotide unclassified non-coding RNA is filed under the name Hevea brasiliensis (rubber tree). The record is from RNAcentral. Lineage: Eukaryota; Viridiplantae; Streptophyta; Magnoliopsida; Malpighiales; Euphorbiaceae.